RNAcentral lists this ribosomal RNA (275 nucleotides) under uncultured bacterium. Its description in RNAcentral is "partial 16S ribosomal RNA". It matches the Rfam family "Bacterial small subunit ribosomal RNA", at positions 524 to 792 of the family's 1533-position model. The record is from RNAcentral.
UACGUAGGUGGCAAGCGUUAUCCGGAAUUAUUGGGCGUAAAGCGCGCGUAGGCGGUUUUUUUAAGUCUGAUGUGAAAAGCCCACGGCUCAACCGUGGAGGGUCAUUGGAAACUGGAAAACUUGAGUGCAGAAGAGGAAAGUGGAAUUCCAUGUGUAGCGGUGAAAUGCGCAGAGAUAUGGAAGGAACACCAGUGGCGAAGGCGACUUUCUGGUCUUGUAACUGACGCUGAUGUGCGAAAGCGUGGGGGAUCAAAACAGGAUUAGAUACCCGGCGU